Molecule: transfer RNA, 73 nt
Filed under: Actinomycetota bacterium
Lineage: Bacteria; Bacillati; Actinomycetota
Description: tRNA-Arg
Rfam family: tRNA
About the family: Transfer RNA (tRNA) molecules are approximately 80 nucleotides in length. Their secondary structure includes four short double-helical elements and three loops (D, anti-codon, and T loops). Further hydrogen bonds mediate the characteristic L-shaped molecular structure. tRNAs have two regions of fundamental functional importance: the anti-codon, which is responsible for specific mRNA codon recognition, and the 3' end, to which the tRNAs corresponding amino acid is attached (by aminoacyl-tRNA synthetases). tRNAs cope with the degeneracy of the genetic code in two manners: having more than one tRNA (with a specific anti-codon) for a particular amino acid; and 'wobble' base-pairing, i.e. permitting non-standard base-pairing at the 3rd anti-codon position.
Source: RNAcentral
GCGCCCGUAGCUCAGUGGACAGAGCGGCGGACUUCUAACCCGCGGGUCGCAGGUUCGAAUCCUGCCGGGCGCA